RNAcentral lists this ribosomal RNA (449 nucleotides) under uncultured bacterium. RNAcentral's name for it is "bacterial SSU rRNA". It matches the Rfam family "Bacterial small subunit ribosomal RNA", at positions 29 to 524 of the family's 1533-position model. The record is from RNAcentral.
ACGAACGCUGGCGGCAGGCUUAACACAUGCAAGUCGAGCGCCCUGCUUGCAGGGAGCGGCAGACGGGUGAGUAACGCGUGGGAAUCUACCCAGCUCUACGGAAUAACACAGAGAAAUUUGUGCUAAUACCGUAUACGUCCUUCGGGAGAAAGAUUUAUCGGAGUUGGAUGAGCCCGCGUUGGAUUAGCUAGUUGGUGGGGUAAUGGCCCACCAAGGCGACGAUCCAUAGCUGGUCUGAGAGGAUGAUCAGCCACACUGGGACUGAGACACGGCCCAGACUCCUACGGGAGGCAGCAGUGGGGAAUAUUGGACAAUGGGCGAAAGCCUGAUCCAGCCAUGCCGCGUGAGUGAUGAAGGCCCUAGGGUUGUAAAGCUCUUUCACCGGUGAAGAUAAUGACGGUAACCGGAGAAGAAGCCCCGGCUAACUUCGUGCCAGCAGCCGCGGUAAU